GACGAACGCUGGCGGCGUGCUUAACACAUGCAAGUCGAACGGAAAGGCCCUGCUUUUGUGGGGUGCUCGAGUGGCGAACGGGUGAGUAACACGUGAGUAACCUGCCCUUGACUUUGGGAUAACUUCAGGAAACUGGGGCUAAUACCGGAUAGGAGCUCCUGCUGCAUGGUGGGGGUUGGAAAGUUUCGGCGGUUGGGGAUGGACUCGCGGCUUAUCAGCUUGUUGGUGGGGUAGUGGCUUACCAAGGCUUUGACGGGUAGCCGGCCUGAGAGGGUGACCGGCCAUAUUGGGACUGAGAUACGGCCCAGACUCCUACGGGAGGCAGCAGCGGGGAAUAUUGCACAAUGGGCGGAAGCCUGAUGCAGCAACGCCGCGUGCGGGAUGACGGCCUUCGGGUUGUAAACCGCUUUCGCCUGUGACGAAGCGUGAGUGACGGUAAUGGGUAAAGAAGCACCGGCUAACUACGUG
Molecule: ribosomal RNA, 468 nt
Filed under: uncultured bacterium
Lineage: Bacteria
Description: partial 16S ribosomal RNA
Rfam family: Bacterial small subunit ribosomal RNA
Source: RNAcentral